UACUCCUGGCCAAUCCUAUUAAAGAAUGGGCUUGUCUCAUAAACCAAUCAAAGACCCCCAGAGGGGCGGGUUUUCUUGGGCUUGGAUCCUAGCUGGGGGUGGGGGGCGGUAAAAAUAAAGUGUUUCCACCUCCAGCCAAUCCCAGGGAAGACAGGACGGCACUCCUCCAAUAGGAUCCUGGAGCCGUCGGUAGCAGUGGCGGCCUGAGACCACCCCUAGCGCUCUGGCAGGCGGGAGGGACGCAUCCGGUGCAUUCGCGAGAUCCAGUUGCCGGCACCUGGAAUCUGCUUGCGCGAGGCAGUGGCGGCACCGACGGCCCGGGUUCCCGGUGAGACUCUGUAAAGACUGGGGUAGGGGACGCGGGGGGAAAGAUGCCCAGCCGGAGCGCGUGAGAGGUUGGACCUGGGCGAGCUUUUAUCCCGGCGGCCUCUCAACCCUAGGUCACCAGGUUGCGGAGGAUCGUGCGGGUAGCAAAAGGAAGGCGAGUGCUCCUGCGGCCCCAGACAGCAACCAGAACACUCCAGUUCCCCAAAACUGCCUUCACCCACCAUCAACAACUAAUAACGUAGACUGUCCCUUCCCAGGCCCCAGCAUCUGUAAGGAAACUAGACUGUUCCGUUAGUCCUCAAUAUGCCUCAAUGUCAUCUGAGAGCAGGAAGUCUCAACUCAUCAGACCCAAUGUACCUUCUACUUUCCUGAAAUGAAAUCUGCUACUAAUGGAACCCAUCUACACAGUUCUUAAAAAUCAAGAUAAUGCACUAACUACAACAUAAAAGGAAUAUAUCAAAUGAUUUUCUGCAUCAAUUGAACUAAUCUUAUGGUUAAUUCAAUUGAUGCAGAAAAAUCUAAAGGCUUUUGUCCUUUAGACCAUUUAUAUGGUAAUGUUUGAUGUUCCUGGGAUAAACUCUAUCUGGUAAUAAUUAAUCUAUAUUUUUGAAUACACUGUUAAUGUCUGUUAGCUAACAUUUUGUUGGGGAUUUUCAUUUCAUAAAUGAAACAGCCCUAGAAUUUUCUUUUCAUGGAUUCUUACCUAGUUUUUCAAUCUAGGUUG
Molecule: long non-coding RNA, 1051 nt
Filed under: Bos grunniens (domestic yak)
Lineage: Eukaryota; Metazoa; Chordata; Mammalia; Artiodactyla; Bovidae
Description: lncRNA (ENSBGRG00000025750.1)
Source: RNAcentral